This 253-nucleotide ribosomal RNA is filed under the name uncultured bacterium. RNAcentral describes it as "partial 16S ribosomal RNA". It matches the Rfam family "Bacterial small subunit ribosomal RNA", at positions 524 to 776 of the family's 1533-position model. The record is from RNAcentral.
UACGAAGGGGGCUAGCGUUGCUCGGAAUCACUGGGCGUAAAGCGCACGUAGGCGGAUCUUUAAGUCAGGGGUGAAAUCCUGGAGCUCAACUCCAGAACUGCCUUUGAUACUGGGGAUCUCGAGUCCGGGAGAGGUGAGUGGAACUCCGAGUGUAGAGGUGAAAUUCGUAGAUAUUCGGAAGAACACCAGUGGCGAAGGCGGCUCUCUGGGACGGUACUGACGCUGAGACGCGAAAGCGUGGGGAGCGAACAGG